AGAAAGAAGCUGUUCCUUCACUUAUUCACAAAAUUGCCACCAAAGGGUUCAACUGAAAACGUGGAAAACAACAAUUUUUUCGUUUUCAAAAUUUGACAUAUUUCCGGAAACAUUUUCAGUGGCUGGCUGCGCCGCCACCUCACCUCAUCGCCGCUCCUUCGUUCCGUGAUUAACCUCCACUCAGGCUGUCGCGCCACCUGACCGACACCGUAUUGACGCCCAUUUCGUAUUCUCAAGGUUUUGAUUAGGAACAGUAUUACCAGCUUCCAUUCUGUAACAUCGUCGUUUGUGUGUGAAAUCCUCCCUGCUGCAAUUUUAAAAUCGGUUGGAGCAGUUCCAGUUCUUAAGAUUUUGCUUUUCAUCUAUUUGGGAGGGAUCUCUGAAGAUGAUAAAUGUGAAAGAGGUUAUUGAAGGUUUAAUCAUUGAUUCUCUCUUUGGAUUGGGCUUGCAGUUGCAGGGCUUGAGACUGGAUCAUGUCAUCGUUUGGGUUCCUUCUCCUAUACUGCAGUAGUUGCGUAUCGAGUAGAAGGAACAAGAUAAGGUUGUAAAGAAAUAUUGGUUUUGGCUUAACUAUCCCUAUUUUCGUUCUUGAUCGAUUUUGGAUUUGAUGUCUUAAUAAGACGUGGUCAUUGAUUGCAAGACUCACAAGGUGGUUGUUAAGGCAGAGAGACUCCGACGAUUACCACCUUUUUCUUCUUUUUAUUUUGGCUAAAAAGCACUUUUGGCCCCUGAUGUUUCAAGUUUGUGCAAAUUCUGCCCCUACUUUAUUUUUGUCGAUGUUUCUACCCCUCAUGUUUUCAAACAGUGCACCGUCUACCCCUCUGUCAGUCAGACGAUAAAAAACUAACGGAAUAAGCUGAUUUGACUUUUUUUUUACAUAUUUUUUUGACCUGCCACGUGGAAAUUACAAGUAAAAUUUGAAAAAGGCGGCAUGGGAGAUUCAAACUCAAGACAUGUAAGUAGCAAAACAUGCAUUUAACCAGUUCAAUUACAUACAUAAUUGAUAUAUACAUCAAGCAAAUUUAAUUUAUAUCAUUUCCUUGAUCAUCAUCAACUUCAUAUACUCCUCUUCAUCUCUCCCCAAUCCACUCAGGAACCUCUCCUGAGAAAGCCUUACUAACGGAGGGGUAGACGGUGCACUGCUUAAAAACAUGAGGGGUAGAAACGUCGACAAAAAUAUAGUAGGGGUAGAAUUUGCACAAACUUGAAACAUCAGAGGCCAAAAAUACUUUUUAGCCUUUUAUUUUUCUUUUGACUGAUUGUUUUUGUCCCUAAGUGUUUUAGAUUUCUGGUGGUAAUGCUUUCUCGGAUGCGGGUACAAGGAUAAAGAAGAAGUGGCAGAUCAUAGCUUCUGCAGUUAAGUUGUUGUGAAAGAAGCUAUGGCUCUAAGGAAAUAAAUCUGAGAAACACUGCAAUGUUUUGUUGUUCUUGGUGCAGGUUAGUGCUCAAGAAACAUAAUGUUCCUUUGCUGAUGCAGGCCUCUCAAUGCUAAAGAUAUAAGAGAAUCAACCACAAUGACCUCAGAUUUUGAUUUUACCAAAGAUGGAGAGCUUCCUGUAAUGACAUUAGAUUAUGGAGAGCUAAUGAAUUCUUUAAGAUUGUUUUUAAUUGAAGGCAAAAUGCUCAGUUUUUAGAAAUUCUAAGAGCAGUGUCCUGUACUUCUAUAGUAUUUUUUCCCACAUUUUAAUAUAUCCAUAAUUGAUUCCUUUUGAUAUAUUCUUUACAUAAUAAAAGUCAUAUGAACCUGGUAUACAAGUGGUCUUGGAAAGAUUUGCAAAAGCUUCUUUGAUGGCUGCUAUAGAUUACAGUCUCCAAUUCCAUUUAUUUGUAGUUUUUAAUAGUCUAUUAUGGGUUUGUAUUUUAAAUAUGUGAAUUCUUUAGGGUACUUUGUUUAUCGAAUACAACCAGUAACUAUAUGUUGCUGUUGUUGACAUCUUGCUCAACUCUACAGUUACCAAAAGAAAACAUGUUAUUGCAAAUUAUGCAAGAGGAAGAGUACAAAUUCCCACACACUAACAAUAAAGCAAGAGUUAUUUUUUGGUUUUGGUUUAUUGUUGCUUUCCACUAAUCUAUGACCCAUGAGACUUUCCUUACAGUUUGUGAUUGGAUUGAAGUUGUAUUGGUAACAACCCUUUAUUGCUUGAUGCAUGGGAACUGCUAAUAAUAUAAAAAAAUCUAAGCUUGAGAUCUAGCUAUAUGUCUUUUUGUUUCUGAUUUUAAUGAGAUGAUAUAUGAUUGUUGCUGUGAAAUUCUCUGUUAGUGGUUAUGUUCAAUUGUGCAGGACAAAAAUUAAAAAAGAAGGGAUUCAACGACAGCUUAUAUGGAAAAAGGUUUCCAAGGCAGAUGCUAAGAGCUCUGAUACCAAAUGAUAUGAUUUGGGAACACAAAGGAUCGUCUUGAAAACUGGGGACAAAAGAUAGGAACUUGACCCUAACCGCGACCUGCCGGUAGAACCAAAGUUAUCAAAGAUAAAAGGGGAACUUGACCCUAACCGCGACCUGCCGGUAGAACCAAAGUUAUCAAGUUUAGUUCUUAACCCAAGAACAAAUGGGAAGCUCUCACAAUAUGAGAAAACAACCUCUGCUCUUUGGAUUCCUUCGGGUAUAAAUCUCACUUCCCUUUCAAUUGUAUGUCUUCUAUGUAUUUAAAUCCUACAUUUCUUUUCUGUUACGUCCCUUAAGGUGUUGUGAUUGUUAUUGGCCAAGGAAGAAGAAAUGAUACAUGGAUAAAUUGCUUUACUCUCUCAUUUGUUAGGUUUUUUUAUUUUAUUUUCAUAUGGUUGCGCCAAUAACAUCUAAGACAUUAUAGUUUUGUUUUUUUUAAGAAGUUGAUCUCUCUAAUUGAAGGUAUGAAAAACAAUAGAAAUGGGAGGUUUGAAUAGCGUUUUCAGAUAAAACUUUUCCCACUUGAGAUUUUAACAAAUCUCUCAAACAAAGAAUGCAAAGUGCUAAGAUAAGAGUUGAGGAAAGCACACAAGGAUUUUAUCCUGCUUCACUUGAUAAAUCCCUUAAGCUAAUCCAGUCCACCUGUUAAGGUGAUUUCUUCCUUCUUAGAAUGAAGGCAAUCCACUAUUCAGAGUUUGUUACAACUGCACUAGCAACAUGCUCAGUGACUAACAAUACAAUGAACUAGUAAACACUAAGAUUCACUCUCUUAGUCUUCUCAAGGAUCUGACCAACCUUGGUCACUUAAAGAAAAACAAACUAACUGUUUGAAUGUUUGGGUUUACAAUGAAAUGCUUCUCAGAAAGCUAAGGUAAACACAAUGAGAUCGGUUCGAAGAAAGAUUGCUAAGAGAAUAUUUUAAUAUUGCUUGAGCUUGAACAAGGUUUCUUCGGCGGCAUCUUUCAUCUUCAGCCUCUUUAUAUACUCCAAGGAUUAGGGUUGUAUCCGUUGCAUGGAUUGCUACCGUUGGAGGGCAAAUCUGUAACUUUUAGAUUCUGUUGUGGCUGAACGUCUUAGGUAAGGUCGUCAGGAUAGUACAAUUGCUUUUGUACUUUGAUAGCGACUUGACCUUUAUCCUAGUUGACUUCUGAUCAGAGCGACGGUCAUGUUGGAACUUGUGAAGCUUGGUGAUCAGAGUCAGAGGGAAGCUUGGAUCCUCUGACCUUCGUAACUUCUGCUUCUGGACCUCAGAGUAGAAAGUACUUGGUAUUCAGAGCCAGCUUACUCUUGGACUUCAGAGUCUUAACUUCUCAGCUUCUGGACCUUCAGAACUUCUGGUCUUCAGAACUUCAAGUGAUCUAAAUCCAUAUGUUCCGUGCUAGAACAUAGAGAGGGAAGGUAGUACCUAAAGCAUGAGGAAAAUGGUGUGAAUGUUUAGAGAGAGAAGCUCUAACCGCUUAGAGAGAGAAAGUAUAACUGAAUUUCAAUCUUGUUAUUUCUCAAAUGAGCUAAGAGUCCCUUACAAUUGGUAUUUCCCUCCUAUUUAUAGAGGUGGAGUUGGGCUUUGGCGCCUUUAUCCUGUCCAAAUGGGCCAGUUGGGCCCCGGGAAGGGAGGCCCAAGGUUCUGACGCGUUCCCAGCCCGAGGCUGGGUCUCUUGGGCGAGGGACCCCGGGGUCCCGCCCAGUCCACAAGUCCUCAAGACACCGAGCUCGAAGCAUGAGAGCUAAGUGUGUCUUUAAGCAAGAAACAAGGUGAGAGCCCUAAGGAUGCCGACUAAAACUUAAAAACUUAAAAUCUGGAAAUAAAAAACAAUGGCCAACAUGGCAUGAUAAAUAAAGCCUUUUGCAAUCGACACCUUAGACCUUCAGCUGCGCCUUCUUCUUUUGGGCCUACCCAAUCCACAAGUAGGCUUGUGGCGACGACUUUUUGUCCGCCCGCCUCAGCAUAGUUAUGCACGUGCCUCGAAUCGUGAUACUUUGUCGCGUGUUGUUUCCAUCCCACGCGUCGUGCCUUGAAUUGACGCCAGGGUCAGUAAAUCCACAGAAUCUCAACCGCUAAUCUUGACGUGUCCUUUCCGGUCGCGUCACAACUUUGGCAAUUUUGAAUUUCCAUCAAUUAGUAGCAACCGUUGCGGAUUUCAUUUAAUGCGGUACCCCCCUUGUUCUAAAAUCUAUGCCACGUCUCCUGAGGUAAUCAUUCCACCUUUGCAAUGAUGGGGCACGAUUUCCCAAUCGUUUCUUAUCAUAACUUUUAAAUUCAACUUCUUUCUCUCACUUGUCACUUUUGAAACCCUCCACAAUCUCGCAAAGUUACCCAAGCUGUUACUCCAGCAUCUUCUCCUUUUCCGUCCCAGUCCCUUUUUGUAAAAGAUGACUCCUAAACGCCGCACCAAAAGAUCCUCUCGACUCCAAAGCCCCGCUCAAACAUUCCGCGCCCCGGCCAUUCCACCUCUUGCUGGGGGGGCUCCCCCUUAAUGAAAAUGAAAAGGGUGCCUUCUGGCACAAAAUCAUUUCCACCCUUCCUUCGCCUGCUACCAGGGAACCCGUUCUGAAAGCCAUCUGCCAACCCUCUGAGUUGUCCACCGACAAAUCCAUCACUGAGCUGGUCCGCCGAGUCGGAGGGUUAUGCCGUGAAAAAUCCCUCGAAGAUGUCCUUAUCACCAGCCGGGGCUUGAGCAGCCGUCGCCACUAGAAGUGUCGCACACUCGAACAAGGCGCAGAAGAGCCCCACUUCUUCUAUGUUUAUGAGUAUUUCUUUCUCGACCUGGGGAUCAAACUACCCUUCUCCCCCUUUCUUUGCCAGGUUUUGAGAGAGAUCAAUGAAGCCCCAAGCCAACUUCAUUUGAACGCCUGGGCCUUCAUCCGAUGCUACGAGAUUCUAUGUGAUGCCAUCAAUCUUGAAGCCAAAACCCCCCCCAUUUCUUUUACUUCUACGGCGUGUAGCCAAGAUCCUUGAAAGACGAGACUCCCGGGUGGGUCUACCUGAAGUCCCGAACGGGUCGGCAACGUCUCCAACCUUAUAAGAGCAAUAUCAAGAUGAGGCCCGGGCGCCGAUAUUUUCGCAUAAUUGUGCACCCCUCCUAUCCUGAAGCUUUCACACACCGGGAUGGAACUGCCUCAUUUCCUUUUUAUUGGACCGAGGAUCCCUGCGACGUUUCUCCGCCAUCCGAUGCAUCACUAAAUAAUGAAGACAAAGCCAUCCUCGGCUUCCUCUCCGAGUUCCCCAUCCUCGAAUGCUCCCAUUUGCUCGAAGCCGCCAGUGAAAACACACUCCAUACCCUCUUAGAAGGGAUUGACUUUACUGUGGCCGCGCUACAGCGCGCCUUAACUGCCGAUUCGCUCGAGUUUCCUCCUGUUUUCAAUACCCAGGUGAGCAAGAGGAAACGCGUCGUCGUCGAUUCUGACGCCGAAGCCGCCGUUCUCCCGUCGAAGAAGGUCAAAAAAUCUUCUUCAAUUGACCCUGCUCCAGGUGCCGCUGGGUCUGAUGAGGCUACAACGGGUGUCGCCCAGAUGACCCGGGUUUAUAUGAUGUUUUUAUGGUUUUUCCUUGUAGGUUUUGAGUCUUUUUCUUGUGUCUCAUGUAGUGUUUCAUGCAUUCUCAUGCAUUUUUAUUCUUUUCUUUAGUCUUUAUUUUGUUUUGGUAAUUUAGUAGUUUUAUAGGUAGUUUUCUUGCAUUUUAAGUAAAGUUUAGGACUUGCAUGGUUUUGUUGUGUUUUAUGAAGGACCUCUUGUGCUAAUGAGCUCUUGGAGCUUCUAGAAUCUUCCUUGACUUCUUGGUUAGGUUUGGAGAGCAGAAACUGAAGGAGAAAGAAGGCCAAGAAGCAUGGAAUUGAUGAAGAACUUAAAGAGGAUUGAAAAGAGAAGUUUCAGAAGCCAAAAAGUCCUUUUCAGGCGAGCUUAAGCGCCUAGGCGCUGGGAAUGGGCGCCUAGGCGCCAAUUAGCUCUAGAAAGCAUGUUUUGGGCAUGCAAUUGGCGCUCAGGCGCUCUGAAUUGGCACCUGAGCGUCCGGAACAGCCCAGACUCGUGAUUUUGCCUAUAAAUAGGAUUCUAGUCAUUUUCUUUUGUAAUUUUGGAUAUUUUUUGAUACUUUGUAAAAUUCAGAGGUAGAGGAUCAUCUAGGAGAGUGAAAGAUGGCUUCCAAGCUUGUAAUUCAGGUUCUUAGCCUUGCCAUGCUUGGCUAAUCUCUCUUCUUAUGCUUUGGUUUUCAUGUAAGACUUUUCAUAUUUGAGUAAUAAUCUUAAGUUCUUUCCCA
Long non-coding RNA from Lotus japonicus, 6636 nucleotides. RefSeq lists it as uncharacterized. The transcript has 4 exons. NCBI's taxonomy places the organism in Eukaryota, Viridiplantae, Streptophyta, Magnoliopsida, Fabales, Fabaceae. The record is from RefSeq and is a predicted model, not a curated record.